AAGACCUUGCGCUUUUGGAGCGGCCGAUGUCUGAUUAGCUAGUUGGUAGGGUAAUGGCCUACCAAAGCUUCGAUCAGUAGCUGGUCUGAGAGGACGACCAGCCACACUGGGACUGAGACACGGCCCAGACUCCUACGGGAGGCAGCAGUGGGGAAUUUUGGACAAUGGGCGCAAGCCUGAUCCAGCCAUGCCGCGUGAGUGAAGAAGGCCUUCGGGUUGUAAAGCUCUUUCAGCCAGGAAGAAAAGGCUACGACGAAUAAUCGUAGCUCAUGACGGUACCGGAAGAAGAAGCACCGGCUAACUACGUGCCAGCAGCCGCGGUAAUACGUAGGGUGCGAGCGUUAAUCGGAAUUACUGGGCGUAAAGGGUGCGCAGGCGGUUUUGUAAGUCAGAUGUGAAAUCCCCGGGCUUAACCUGGGAACU
This 423-nucleotide ribosomal RNA is filed under the name uncultured bacterium. RNAcentral's name for it is "bacterial SSU rRNA". It matches the Rfam family "Bacterial small subunit ribosomal RNA", at positions 207 to 622 of the family's 1533-position model. The record is from RNAcentral.